Molecule: long non-coding RNA, 5434 nt
Organism: Aethalodelphis obliquidens (Pacific white-sided dolphin)
Lineage: Eukaryota; Metazoa; Chordata; Mammalia; Artiodactyla; Delphinidae
Exons: 6
Source: RefSeq, a predicted model, not a curated record
UGAUGGAAAAAAUUUCAAUUCCGUGGAAGACUGUAAAAGGCACCAGGAACAGUUCUUUGCUCAAAAAGAUAAAAAGUUUUGGGAAGACAGAAUUAUGAGGUUGCCUGAAAAAGGGCAGAAGCUAGUGAAACAAAAGGGUGAAUACGUUGUUCAAUAAAGUUCUUGGUGAAAAUGAAAAAUGUGUGUUUUAUUUUUAUUUAAAAACUGAAGGCACUUUUUGGCCAACCCAGUACAUUUAUCUUUUUGAAGAAAGGUCAAAGUAUUGUUCACGUAGGCUGCACCAUUUUACAUUUCCACAAUGUUUAAAAGUUCCAUUUGCUCUACAUCGUUGCCAAUAUUCAUUAUUUUUAAUUUUUCUUGACUAUAACAAUUGUGUGUUUGAAGGGGUAUUGCAUUACGGUACGAAUUUGCAUUUCCAUCAUGACUACUGAUGUUUGACAUCUUUUCAUGUCCUUGUUGACCAUUUGCAUGUCUUGUCUGGAGAAGAGUCUGAUCAAGUCCUUUGUGCAUUUUAAAAAUUGAGUUCUUUGUGUUUCUGUUGAUGAGUUUCUUGAUACGUUCUGGAUAACAGACUCUUAUUAGAUAUAUCAUGUGCAAAUAUUUUCUUCCAUUCUGUGGACUGUCUAACUUUCUGGAUAGCAGUUUUGAUGUGAUAAAAUUAUUAACUUUGAGGAAAUCCAGUGUAUCUAUAUUUUAUUCAUUGCUUAAGCUUUGAUGUCAGAUCGAAGAAACCACUGCUAAAUGCAAGGUCAUGAGGAUUUAUUCCCUUGGUUUAUUUUAGAGAUUAUAGAGUCAUCCCUUGGCAUCCACUUUGCUAAGGUUAAGGUCUGUGCUUAGAGUCAGUGUCAGGGUUUAGGGUGAUGGUUAAAGGGUCAGGGUCAGGGAUUAGAGUUGAGGUGUCAGGAUCGAGGGUCUAGGAUCCAAGGUUAGGAUUGUUAGGUUUAGGGUAAUAGGGUAAAGGGUUAGGAUGUUAGGGUUAGGGUGAGGGUUAGAGUUAGGUUAAAGGAUAACCUGUUCUCACCGUUCUUGUCUCUCUCCAUCUCUCUGAAGCCUCCAGGAUGGACAGGAUUCUCCCAAGGUCACACAUGAGUCAGUGGACUGUCAGUGAUACGGAAUCUGCCGCUUUUGCCGAGCCAGCAUCUGUCUUCAUGACCAGCUGCAGCACCUCAGCUUUCCUUUUGGAACUACAUCUCAGCUGCUUCCAGUCCAAACAGUUUCAGGGGGCUGACCUUAUAUUCCACCCACCUAGAAGAUGGCUGUAUGAUCCACAUCUAGCCAAUCCCAUUUUUCAUCCUCUGCUUGCUGUGAUCGGUUCAAGGGUGAGAAUGUGACCCAAGCCAGGCCAAAGGCAUUCAAAGUCAUGAGUUUCAUGGAACCCUAGGGAAGGAGAAACCCUUGCUGGUAGAAUGGAUGUUGUGUGGGUGUCAUAUUGGAGUUGCUGGUGGCUGUGGAUGCAGUGAGAGAGACUGUGCCGGUGAAUGGGACCACCCCAAGGCAUUCAGCGGGACUGAUUCAGCAGGACAUACUACAAGAACGUGAGCCAUUGGACCUGACAUCUCCAAACCCACUCUUCAACUUGUCUCUUUUCUGCCUGCAGGGAGCGCUGUCACCAGUGAACUGUGAGUGAGGCGCGGCCUGCAGUUCCGGGACUGUCCACAGGGGGGCCAAGCCCACCUCGCUGACCCACGGCGCAUGCGCAUUCCACCUGGGACUUGGCUCUGCGCGCCUGAAAGGAAUUCUGUUGCCUCAGGCACCCGCUUGGGCCUGGGAUGCCUCGCUGACAGCGUCUCUGCCAACAGGAGCUCAGUCUCCUUAGGGCUCGCUGGGGUUCAGCUUCAGAACAACACAGGACUGCGUCCAUGCAGACUGGAGCUGAGUUUCCUUACGACCGGGAGGAAAAGGUCAUCCACAACACGGAAGAAAGUGGCUCCUAAUAUAAUCUUCCCACAGUGCCUCUAAAUUACGUGUGGACUUUGGGUGAACUGGAUCUGGAUCCCAUCCAGGGCACCACAUAACAUGUAGUCAUCAUGUCUGUCUGGCCUUUGACAGUUUCUCAGACUCUCCUUGUUCUUUGUGGAGGAGGACUCGUCAGGUAUUUUGUAGACUGUCCCAUGUUGGGAUUUACGUGGUGUUUUUCUGUCACGAUUAGACUGGGUUUAUGGGUUUUGAGGAAGCAAAUCACAGAGGUCAAGUGCGUUCUCAUCAUUUUAGGUCAAAGGAACAGGCUCUCAAGGCAACUUAUCACCAUUCAUGUUAACUUUGGUCACGUGGCUGAGGUCCUGUUUGUCAGUUUUCCCUGCUGUGAAGUUAUUUUUCCCAUGUCCAUGCUGUGUAUCUUAUUUAGGAAGAACCCACACUUCAGAAGAGGGUUACCCUCCUCGAUGGCUGGCUGGCUGUGUGUCUACAUCAGUUAUUUGGAAUUCUUCUGCAUAGCACAUUUCUAUUCAACACAGUUCAUAAAAAGUGUUUGUAGUCAUUUUACUAGUGUGGACACCUGAAUAGUUUUUACACUUGUGGUUAUAAUUCAGCAGUACAGUACAGUAUUUGGGUGCUUAGUUCAUUCUUGCUUUGACUGUUGAGCGCUUUCUCCACUGUCUCAUGGAAUUACGUCAAAUGAAAACAUCUUGUGAGUCGUCCAUCCCCCCAGCCCCCUGCUGGUACUUCUUUACUUUGAUACUUUAAGAUUAUCCUGGCUCAUAUAUUUACUGAGUCCUAGUAGCAGCCAUUUCUUCAAAGAGCCCUGAUUCCUUUAAUUAGAGGAUGGUAUUAAAAACUUACGUUUGAAAGCUAAAUGUACUCAGCUGAUAACGCACUGAAAUACAUAUGCAUGUAUUCCAACCUGUGCAUAUACACCUAAUUAUAAAGAUUUCUAUGUGGAACUGUCUGUAUCCAUGUUAAACUAAAGAUGAAUUUAUAUAGAUGUCAUCACCCUGAUCCAUUAUUACAUGGAUAUUGUAACCUUCUCCCUUUGCUUAUCUGUAGCUUCCUAUUCCAAUGGUUAGAAACCUGGCUUCCAUUUUUUGAAUUCAUUGCUUGUUCCAUUCCAGAUUACAGAUACAGUGGCUUCAACAUUCUUAGCUCCUGCCUGCAGGGAAAGAACUUUGAGUCCACUGUUUGGGUACAGUACAUUUUGCAUUUAGUCUAGAGAUUCCAUUUACUUCCAGAAUUACUAAGGUCAGCACCUUUUGUCCCACUACCAACAGUGAGGUUUUCUCAUACAUUACUAAAUCAGUUUUUGUUAAAUUCUGUAAUGCAUCCUGUGGCACUCCCAUAUGCUAAAUAACUAAAAUUGAAUACAUUAUGAUUUAUUUGUUGGGCUGUAAAAGUUUCUGGGUUUAGACAAAUGCAUAGUGGCAGGUAUUCAUCACUGAAGUAUUGUAUGGAAUAUUUAAGUCCCCCACCCAUAACCUGUUUACCGUCUGUUUUACCUGUUUCCGAAUGUCAUAAAUGGGGUCAUACAGUGUUUAGCACUUCAGACUGGAUUCUUCUGCUUAGCAAUAUACAUGUAAGGUUCAUCUAUGUUUUUGCAUGGGUUGAGGGUUCACUCCUUUGCUAUACCAUUGUAUAUAUGGAAGGAAAAAUAAUUUUCCCUCUACCCUUCUUUGUUCUUCAUUGAGGUCCCCUCCUUACCCCCCAUAAAAAAUGAAAGGCAGAUGAACUGGAGACAAAUAAUCAGAAGUUUAAUAACAUAUGUACCUCCUAUAUGCAAGGGAGAUACUCAGGAACACUGAGUAAUGCCCUGAAAUGGCCCAAACCAUCACCUUAAAUACCAUCUUCAUCUAAAGACAAAAGAAAGGAAGGGUAUGGGUGUUGUGCAGAUUUAAGUAGUAGCUUUCUCCAUUGGUAGAGUUUCUUGAGAUUUAGUCAUCCUUCCUAUUCCUUGUAAUGGAAAGGGAGAUAACCUUUCAAAUGGAGAUUUCCCUUAUAAAUAUAUAUAUUUCCCUCACAAAAGGGCAAUCUUGACUUGGUUUUCAGAGAUUCUCAUGUUGUCUUCUUUUUAAAAAAAAAAUAAUAAUCAGCUCAAAAUAAUCCUUAUGCCAAGAGGCAUAUUGGGGUGGCAUAUUCCACUCCCCUUGAAAUGGAGGUACCCCAAUUUGCUUAUGCAUUCUUCUGCUGAAGAACAUCCUGGUUUCUUUAAGUUUAUAGCCAUUAUGAGUAGAAGUGCUGUGCUUAAUUACAUCCUUGUUUGCGUUUGGACAUAGUUCUGAAAAGCAGUUGUCUAAAUACUGGAGGCAGGAUGUUGGAUCCUGAGGUGAGUCUUAUUUAGCUUUGGAAAAAACUUCCAAAAUAUCUUUUAAAGUAGCUGUAUAUGCAUUUCACCAGCAGUAGAGGAGAGUUCCUGUUCACCUCCCAUCAAUCAGUAGUGGCUUUUUUUUGGAGUUUAUUAAUUCUAAUAGGUGUGCAGUGCUAUCUCUGUUUUCAUUUGUAAUUCCCUAAUGGUAUAUGAUGUUGGGCAUAUUCUUGUAUGCUUAUUUACUGUCUGUAUAAUCUUCUUUGGCCAGUGUCUGUUCUAAUCUUCACCCAUUUUUAAGGAGGUUUGUUCUAGAUUUUUUGGUGUAAUUUGAGUACAAAUCUUUUAUCAUGUUGCAAAUAAUUUUUCUUUCAGUUUGUGGCAUGUCUUUUGGUUUUCUGAAUAAGGUAUUUCAUGGAGUCUAAUGUUUUAAAUUUUUAAAGUCCAUGUUCAUUUUAUUUCUUUUGUGGAUAGGCUUUUGAGGUUUUGUGUUAAAAUCCAUCACCAAAUCCAAGGUAAUGUAGAUUUGCUUCUGUGUUUUCAUCUACAGUUUUUAUAGUUUUCCAUUUUAAAUUUGUCUGUGGACAAUUUUGAGUGAGUUUUGGUGUAGGCUGUAAAGUUUGUGUCUACAUUCUUUUGAUUGCAUAUGGUUUCCAAUUAUUCUGUAACUCUUUUUGGAGAAGUCAUGGGAUAUUUGGCUCCAUUUCAGUUUGAAUUUCCAAAUUUAGUGGUUUCUGCAGGCUUGCCAGCUUGGAGCAUGGGCUCCACUGAACUGAGAGGUUGUGGCCUGCACUUCCCAGUUGACCAGCAGGAGGUGGUACGCCCACCUUGCUGAUCCUUGAGGUGCAUAUGUGCUCCACUGAUGAACUUGGCUUGUGAAGGAACUUGGCUUCUCAUGCUGCUGAUUGAAGUUCAGUCUCUUCAGGAUCCGCCAUGGUUUCAGCAUUGGGACAACACUGUUGAGUCCAUGCAGGCAGGAACCAGAUGUCUUCAGGAACUGCCAGGAGGCACCACCAUGGGACGAAAAGCUUGUGAGAUCUUGGUUCCCAGGCCAGAAGUCGGGCCUGAGCUGCUGUGGUAAGAGCACAGAGUCCAAACUGCUUGACUACCAGAGAACCUCAGACCCCAGGGAAUAUUAAUCAGAGUGAGAUCUCCCAGAGGGUCCUCAUCUCAGCACCAAGACCCAGCUCUACCCAACUGCCU